RNAcentral lists this ribosomal RNA (613 nucleotides) under Delphinium favargeri. RNAcentral describes it as "eukaryotic LSU rRNA". The stretch from base 204 to 359 matches the Rfam family "5.8S ribosomal RNA". Lineage: Eukaryota; Viridiplantae; Streptophyta; Magnoliopsida; Ranunculales; Ranunculaceae. The record is from RNAcentral.
AAGGAUCGUUAUUGUCAAGACCUGCCCAAUAGAGCGACCCGCGAACGAGUGAAAAAAUGCACGUGCGGUUCGAGGAGGGGCGCGCCCCUGAUCGUCCGCCCGAAAUAAACCAAAAACCGGCGCUACAGGCGCCAAGGAUAUCUUAGCGGAAACAGGGGGUCGCACCGUUCGUGGUCGCGGCCUUGGGGUUCCGAUACUCGAACGACUCCCGGCAACGGAUAUCUCGGCUCUUGCAUCGGUGAAGAACGUAGCGAAAUGCGAUACUUGGUGUGAACUGCAGAAUCCCGUGAACCAUCGAGUGUUUGAACGCAAGUUGCGCCCGAGGCCACUAGGCCGAGGGCACGUCUGCCUGGGCGUCACACACAGCGUCGCACCCCGCCAACCACGUUGUCGGGGAGCGGAAAUUGGCCCCCCGGGCCCUUGAGGGCACGGCCGGCACAAAUGUUGGUCCCCGACGGCGAGCGUCGCGGUUAACGGUGGUUGUACUACUCACCCCCGAAGACAUCAAGAUGCGCCGCUCCGCACCACGACGGGACACACGACCCCAAGGAACCGCCUCGCGCGGCAUCCACCCUGCGACCCCAGGUCAGGCGGGACUACNCGCUGUGUUUAA